GAAUGCAAGGGUGAUCUGGCUGGGAUAUCUGUCAUUCCAUUGGUCACCAGGGUUGAUCUGGCUGAUCUGACUGGCUCGGCAAGGCUGGUGUCCCUUUGUUUCUCAACCGCUCCGUGUCAGUUCCUCCAAAAGCUGUGCAGUCUUCUAGGUGGAAGAAGACAACUUUCCGUGACAGAAGAGGACCAUUCUUUGGUCAGAGGUGUAAGAGUAGCUGAGAUCCCCUGCUAAAACCAGCAAACGAGCCCUCAAGGGCCAACAGUAGGAGAAUGUAGGGUAGUCAAACUUCCAAGAUCCCGGACUCAUUGAAAUAAGGCACUGCAUGUGAUAGUCUGCCCUCAAAA
Molecule: non-coding RNA, 341 nt
Organism: Pteropus alecto (black flying fox)
Lineage: Eukaryota; Metazoa; Chordata; Mammalia; Chiroptera; Pteropodidae
Source: Rfam